The submitters of this non-coding RNA (116 nucleotides) gave its source as unclassified sequences. The record is from Rfam.
UUAAAGAUACUUACGUCCAGUCUCAGGUCGAGCGUUGAAGCGAAAGAAAUUUCGUGGGCCGUCGCAACCAAAGAGGGCGUCCCGACGAGAACCGUGGGGAGGUGGAAUUCCUAUGA